AAGGACAAGCAUCGAAUACAGUUCUCUGACAUAUAAUAGGCAUGUGGUAAUCAACACCAGGAGCUACUCCAAGUCAUAAGCGGCUUCCAUGGUGCUGCAGAGGCUGCCUCCAGAAAGCACAGAACCAGAAAAUAACAACUCCAUUGUUGGAGCAAAUGUUGAGACACUGAAAUUUCUGAUCACCAAUUACAAUGCGUGGAGGAGUCUUUCCCCAUCAUAUCACCAAGCCACGCUCAGGACACCAGGCCCAGCCACAGCACCGCAAGCCUACCCAUACCUCCUGUUCCAAACACUCAGGUUCUUCAGCCCCUGAGUGAAUGCUGAGCCACCCCAGCCCAGAUUUUCCAGCCUUCCACAUCUACUGGUUUUUGAAUCUUAGUUCCCACAUUGACACCGAAGUCUUUGGAAAAAAAGCCAUCAACUGGGGCCAUCGGGGACUACCCUGCCAGCCCUGGAAAUACCAGAAGUUAAGGUGGAAGCCAGCUGCCAUGUCAUGAGGAGACUCAAGAAGCUCUAUGGAGAGGUUCAUGUGGUGAGAAACUGAGGCUGCCUGUCAAUGGCCAGGAAAGAACCAAGGCCUUCCGUCAAAAGCCAUGUGACUAAGCAUAGACACAGAUCCUACAGCUUUGGUUAAGCCUUGGGCCAGACCUAUCCUAGUCAACAGCUGGACUAUGACCCCAUCUGAACCAGACCCCUCAUCUGAUCUGCUCCCAGAUUCCUGACCUACAGAUACUGUGAGAUAACAAAUACUGUUUAAGUCAUUAUUGAGGAAAAUUAGCCACAUCGCAACAGAUAACUAAUACACCUGCCUCAGCUCAUUGCUGAGAAGUCGCUGAAAGAUCACAGGGCAGAGUCAGGGGACCUGAAUUCUACCAUCUGCUUCAUGAUUUACAAAUUGUGUGACCAUGGAAAAUCUACCUGUCUGCUAUGAGCUUCGGAUUCCUUUGAGAAAACUUUCCCUCCUUUUCUCUCGCAGUUGGUAAGAGCGUCAGAUGAAGUAUUUGGGGGAAAUCAGAAGUUUUCUGGUAUCAUAACUACCUUUUUGUCAUUCAGGUUUUCAGCUUCUCAAAACAGUCCGUCCCAUCCAUCCUCUCAACACAGUCUCAAACCACACACCACAUGAACACAAGGCAGCGACAGCGUCCCCUUUCCUUCAGCAGAUGCCAUGUCUUGUCCACGCCUGGGAGCACCAAGGUAGUGCCAUGUUCAAAACAAAACUUAACGAGGAAGGUACCACAUUGACUCCAACUGGGAAGACUGCUGUCACCAGACUGCCAGAGAACGAGAUGACCACACAUUUCCCGUGAAGAGGAAGAAGAUGCAGAAAAGUCACCUGGCCUCAUGCAAGUUGGCGGUGAUCAUUGGAAGGAAGACAAAAGCUGACUGGUCUCUUAACUCUGACAGUUUCCUUAGCCUAUUUGAUAUGGGCUGUCUUCAGUUUGUUAACUCGCCAUUAUCCAAAAUACCCAUCCCAGCUUCAAGCAGAAUGUCAAUUAACUAGAGGUACAUUAGCACCUGAUAUAUGCACUCAAGAGGCACAUGAAGCAUUCACGUCAAAGCUCUGAGGAACGCUCCAGGCUGAGGAUACUAUCAACCCAGGUUCCACCCUUUUCUGUGGAUGUAGCUCUCCAUCAUGCCUUCAAACUCCAGCCAGAUUAAUCAUUCCCCCUCAAAUGAGGCAACCUCACUUUUGCUCCUGAUUAGAAUGUCUUCUCCCUACACUAAUUAUGUAAAACAAAUUAUGUGUAUGAUAUACUCAGUUAGUUGCCUACAGCACAGUGUCAUUCUGGUCCUUCUUUCUAAAGGAACCCACAUUAUUUUCAAAAAGUGGCCCCCUCCCAAGCCCACCUUAACCCCACUCCAAGAAUAAAUCCUAAUUGGUACAAGCCAUUCAGGGUAAUUUCCCUCCUAUUGCCAAGGGUGGGUGUAGUAUUGGGCAUGUGAUGUAAUUAUGGUCAAUGAGUUAUAAGGAAACCUCUGCUGGGUGGAAUUCUGGGAAUUUUCUCCUUGCUCCUAAAAAGGAGGCAGAAAAAGAGGAGGUCCUGUUUUUCUUGGGGAUUUUGUCCCGCCUGGAUUUGGCUCCUAGAACUACUGUGUCAUCAUGCUGCCAUCCAAAGCUCAGAGGAAGACACAGCUGAGAGAAACCGCAGAGAGGCAGAGCUGGAGCCGGGGCGCCAAGGCACAAUGAGCCCACUCUUCUGAGGCAUCUUUAUUAGGAUAGUUGCUUUGCUGUCAAAGGCAGUUAGAGUCAGGACGUCUUGCUCCAGAUAAAGCAGGCUUCAGGGCCAGGGCAAACCCCACCUCUUCCAAGAUGCCUUUAUUGAUGUGUCCUCUCUUCAUAGCUUUUCUCAUCUUAAGAGUUUCAGUGCCACUGCCUGGGCAGGCAGCUCCAUUGGUCAUCAUUGGACUCAAAGUUCCACGCCACCAUCCACUUAUUCAGCAUUAUACCCCCACUCACCAUUACCAUCGGCCACACCGAGAGUCUUAGAGUGUGGAGGUUAUUGUCUGUGUUUCCUAUGCCAGCACUCAUCCUACAAGUGAGUGGGUUCAAUCAAGCCCAGAAGUUUCUGUUGAAUCAUCCCCUAAACCAAUGGUACCUACUGGCCUUACUGUUCUAUAACUUAGGAAGGCAUGCCGGUGAUUCGUCACAUAAGUAACAUUUGCUCUAAGAUAUUGUCAUCUGCACCUAUUUAGGGAAGUAGCUAGCACUUUUAAAUCUUCUCCCGCCUAUCCAUCACCUCAUUAUGAAUGGGUGAACCCAGUAGACAAAACCACUUACUUUCUUUUCAAAACCACGAUUGGUUAUUUGUUCUUAAAUAUGUGAACUGGAAAUUAUAAAACCUACUCAAAUGUGGUGAGAAUUGAGCAAAAGAAUGUAUACAAAGCCCUAGCUCAAUGCAUGGCAUAUAGUCAGAGAUCAAUGAAUAGCAGGGGUUCUACAGAAUGGAUGGCACCUGAAUGGUACACAUAGGCCAAAUCUAGCCAAAUCAAUUGAAAAGGAGAACCGGUUCAAAGGGAUUACUACUAAGCAAUGAGUUAUCCAGGCCUUUGCUAAGAACAGAGAUUGAUUAUGCAGAGUGACCAAAGCUUUAAUAGCAGACAUGAAAGGCUGACAUGUGUCAUUGUCCUGAUUCUUCAUACUUCUAAGUGGAGGUUUUAUCCUGUUAUGAUCAGGUAAUAUAAUAAAAUGCCUAUAACUUAGAAAUCAAACUUUCUCUUCUAUAUAAAGGCCAGAAUGAAAAUAUGUCACUGUUUUCCUAUGGCUGAAAGCAAUGACUUUCCCAAGGCUGGUUUGUACUCUUCCUUUUCCCAAGUAGAAAUUUCCUUGAGCAAGGGAAGUCAAGAGAAUGGCCCUAGUCAGAUGAAACUCAUCACUGUUAACCAUAAGUGGUGCAUUUUCUCCAUCUUUAAAGUUUCAAAAGAGUGAGAACCCUUGGAAACCUCCUUUUUUUUUUUUUUUUUUGGUCUAAAUUAAAAUUAGAAAUUAGUGUUGGCAUUGAAUUCACUCCUGUGACCAGUGUUCCCCACUUUCUUCCCUCUCCUCCACCAAAAACAGGUUAAUGAUUACCCAGUUUUAAAGUGGAAAGAACUGUGUCUAUGGAUUAUGGUUGGGAAUGACGUGUCAGAGACCAAAACUGGAGUUUUGGUUUCAUUCCCACAAGAUCUUGGCAUUUCUCACAGAAAAAAAAAAAAAAAGAAAGAAAAGUUUUGGCU
Molecule: long non-coding RNA, 3714 nt
Organism: Leopardus geoffroyi (Geoffroy's cat)
Lineage: Eukaryota; Metazoa; Chordata; Mammalia; Carnivora; Felidae
Exons: 4
Source: RefSeq, a predicted model, not a curated record